AGUUGAGCUGAGACUUAAGCAGAAGUGACAGAGAUAGGUAAGUGUAGGAACAGCACUCCAACAGUGCUCCAAAGAAAACACAGCAUGGGCCAGCACAGAAAUUUGAGGGAUAUUGGUAUUUUCAGGAAAUCACAAGUAUUCAUAAUAUUGAAUUGUAUUAUGUUUAAUGGUACAAAAUGAGCAUAAAAUAGCUGUAUUAUGUUUAAUGGUACAAAAUGAGCAGAAAAUAGUAAACAAUGGCAUUUUGAAGGAUUCUGUCCACGAUACAAAGAUUAAAGUUUAAUCAUGUGGAGUUGCAUCAUAAAAUUUCCACCCAAGUGACAAUCAGAUUUGUCUGAAAGACCCCUCUGUUAGUGGAGUAAAGGAUGGAUCAGAGGAGAGGGAGAACAGAGACAGGGAGAGGGGGAGUCAAAAAAUGGAGCUGUUGCAGGAUAAAGGCGGUGAGGCGUGAUGAGGGUUUGUAUUAGGGCAGGAGCUACAGAAAUGGAGAGGGAGAGACAAAUACAAGACAGAUCAAAAAAUCAAAGUCAAUGAGACUUCCUGAUAGAUUACAUAUGGGGCAUGUAGGGAAAACAGUAUGUAAAGCAAGUGAUCUAUUGCAAUGGAUUAAAUGUUUGUGUCCCCGCAAAGUCAUAUUUGACUAACCCCCAAUGGGAUGGUAUUAAAAGGUGGAAUCUUUGGGAGGUAAUCAGGUCAUGAGGGUGGAGGAUUGUGAAUGAAUAGGAUUGUGCCCAUACAAAAGGGUCCACAGAGAGUUAUCUCACCAUCUUUUCCAUAAAGUGAGGACAUCACAGAGAUGACAGUCUGCAAUUCAGAAGACAGCCUUCACCAGAACCAGACCAUACUGGUACCCUGAUGGUGGACUUCCAACAUCCAACGGUGAGAAUUGGAGGCAGGGCAGAACUGCAGGUGUCAAA
Molecule: long non-coding RNA, 917 nt
Filed under: Homo sapiens (human)
Lineage: Eukaryota; Metazoa; Chordata; Mammalia; Primates; Hominidae
Description: HSALNT0079924
Source: RNAcentral